AUCGUGAAACUUCCGGGAACGCUUGCUAAACAGACUAGACCUGGGUUUCGCAAAGGUAUCGUAGCAAUAAACAUCUUAAUUCAAUUGAAACUAAAUAAACGAAAGAUAAUUUUAGUGCUACGAUGCUUUUGGGAAAAUCAGCCCAGGCCGGGGUUUGAGAAGUGAAAAACGAGUUGUUCCUUUUCUCGAAAUCUAAAGGCACAACGUGGAUUUGAGCCAAUGCCUCAACGAGUUUAACAUGUUAUUACGCCAAACUCAUGAAAGUGUCAAACUGACACGUUUUCAUCUUCAUCAAAAACAACUUUAUAUGGACGGAGUGCCUUUGAUUUGACGGUCUGGGUCAUUCCUAGUUUUCGGUACCUUUUCUGUCCCCAGGAAAUAUCAGUUCUUAUUUCGUGUAAUAUGUGGAUUCCAGAAGGCUUUAAAUAUAAGGUCAGGUGUCCUUAACCUUAAAAAACAUCAAAAUAUGGAUCUUGAAAGGGAGUUUUAUGCAAGUUUUUUUUCCAGUGGAUGUUGGCGUUUUUGCCAUGUCCCCAGUUAUCUACUUACACAAUAAAUAUGCCAGAAAAUAAUACACCUUUUAAAAUCGUUAUUCAUUAUGUUAUAGUCCUAGUUAGUCUCUUUCAUCAAUAAAGUAUUUUUCAUAAUUAUUGUUUUUAUUAUUUUAUUUAAGAUUUUCCCUGAUCACUUUCCCUGUUAGUUUGUUGAAAUUCUCCAUUUAAGAAAACAACCCCUUCCUACAAUGACACCACAUUUAGGAAGUGUCGUAAUUUCUUUGGUGGGAAAACUAUUUUGAAAAACUCAAUAAAUAUAAACACUCAGUUGUUAGUCUGUAUGUCCCACUCAUAAAUGUCCACUAUGUUAGGCUAAAUUAUGGAGAAAAUGUAAAUAUGUUUGAUAGAGAAGUUAAAAUCCUGUUCAAGUGUUCACCAUUUUGCUUGCCAGCUCAAUCUUGCUCACUCACAGAGCUAUGGCUAAUUUAGGCUCAAAAUUCCCACCCUGUUUAGGUUCCACCCAGUUAGGAUUAUGCGCCUAACAAAUUGGAAAAUGCACCCAAUAUUUUUGUGUAGGAGACACUUCAUCUACACCCUGAUGCAUGUGUUGUGACGGUGAGGCUGCUUCAUUCUCUGUCUUCUGGUAGGUCGUCUUCCCUGGUCAUCUGUGUUGCUGUUGCCCUGUGUUCCACACCAUGGCACGCCACAGUAAGCUGCAGAAACAGGUGUUGUCUCUGUUCCGCCAGUUCCUGCGUGCUGGCCAGGACAAGCCAGGCUUUCUACCCAGGAUCCGGGAUGAGUUCCGAGAGAACUCCAGCAUCAAGAAGACUGAUGUCAUGCACAUAGAAUAUCUUUACCGGCGUGGACAGAGACAGCUAGACCAGCUGAAAGAUGUGAACACAAAGCAACUAGGAACUUUCUCCAAACCCAAAGCAGAGAGAUGACCAAAACCAUUUCCUUCUCUACCUCUAACUGGAUACGUGGGCAUGCGCUAUGUAAUUACAUGAAUCAUUCACUAGUCAGAUUACUACUCCUUUCAAUCUGCAGCUGAGUAAGUGCAGUCAUUGUCCUAAGCAAUGGCAAUGGAUCUGAACUGUAUGACAUCACUAUUGUCCUCUGUCAGAGAGGUGGACACCACUGAUGAGGAUGAACAUUUGAAAACAGUCUCUGGCCAGUGAGUUUGUUUGGUUGAGCAGACCAGUUGCUCUGGUCAUUGUUGUAAAAUACUUUCAUCUAGCUACAUUAACCUGUUGAGUGUUUUGGAUUAAAGAUGAAAUCAUCAGUAUGAGAAGUGAAUUUGACUAUUUUAAGUCUAGCUAAUACUAGUAUAUGCUUACGUGUCACAAGAGGUCAAGUAAUGGCAUUAUAUAAUGCUUAUGAAAUGUACGGUAAAUAAACAUGUAUUGUCACAUACA
This is an RNA transcript of Oncorhynchus kisutch (coho salmon), 1909 nucleotides long. It is a transcript of the gene named succinate dehydrogenase assembly factor 1, mitochondrial, with no coding region annotated. The record is from RefSeq and is a predicted model, not a curated record. The transcript has 2 exons. Lineage: Eukaryota; Metazoa; Chordata; Actinopteri; Salmoniformes; Salmonidae.